UGGUUUGAUUCUGGCUCAGGAUGAACGCUGGCGGCAUGCCUAAUACAUGCAAGUCGAACGGAGUGAAGCCUUCGGGUUUCAUUCAGUGGCGAACGGGUGAGUAAUACGCAGGGAACCUGGCCAUGGCAGGGGGAUACACUCUGGAAACGGAGCAUAAGACCCCAUAGGCAGUAAGGCGGCAUCGCCUUGCUGUUAAAGAAAGCUGAAAGGCUUUGGCGAUGGAUGGACCUGCGGUGCAUUAGCUUGUUGGUGAGGCAACGGCUUACCAAGGCGAUGAUGCAUAGCCGGCCUGAGAGGGCGGACGGCCACACUGGGACUGAGACACGGCCCAGACUCCUGCGGGAGGCAGCAGUAGGGAAUUUUCGUCAAUGGGCGCAAGCCUGAACGAGCAAUGCCGCGUGAGUGAGGAAGGUCUUCGGACUGUAAAGCUCUGUUGCCGGGGAAAAAGGGGAAAUGCAGGAAAUGGCAUUUCAUGGAUGGUACCCGGCCAGAAAGCCACGGCUAACUACGUGCCAGCAGCCGCGGUAAUACGUAGGUGGCGAGCGUUAUCCGGAAUGAUUGGGCGUAAAGGGUGCGCAGGCGGUCUGUUAAGUCUGAAGGCAAAGGGAUGAGCUCAACUCAUUUAUGAUUCAGAAACUGGCAGACUUGAGGACAGGAGAGGGCGGUGGAACUCCAUGUGUAGCGGUAAAAUGCGCAGAGAUAUGGAAGAACACCAGUGGCGAAGGCGGCCGCCUGGCCUGUGACUGACGCUGAGGCACGAAAGCGUGGGGAGCAAAUAGGAUUAGAUACCCUAGUAGUCCACGCCGUAAACGAUGAGGAGCAGGUGUUGGGAGUGAAAUCUCAGUGCCGAAGCCAACGCAGUGACUCCUCCGCCUGGGGAGUAUGCACGCAAGUGUGAAACUCAAAGGAAUUGACGGGGGCCCGCACAAGCGGUGGAGUAUGUGGUUUAAUUCGAAGCAACGCGAAGAACCUUACCAGGUUUUGACAUCGGAUGCGAAGGCGCAGAGAUGCGCUGGAGGCUAUCAUCCAGACAGGUGGUGCAUGGUUGUCGUCAGCUCGUGUCGUGAGAUGUUCAGUUAAGUCUGGCAACGAGCGCAACCCCCGUGGUAUGUUACUAACGCAUUUGGGCGAGGACUCAUAUCAGACUGCCGGUGACAAACCGGAGGAAGGCGGGGAUGACGUCAAAUCAUCAUGCCCCUUAUGGCCUGGGCUACACACGUACUACAAUGGCGUCUACAGAGGGAAGCGACCCUGAGAAGGGAAGCGAAACCGGAAAAGGGCGUCCCAGUUCGGAUUGAAGUCUGCAACCCGACUUCAUGAAGAUGGAAUCGCUAGUAAUCGCGGAUCAGCAUGCCGCGGUGAAUACGUUCCCGGGCCUUGUACACACCGCCCGUCAAACCAUGGAAGCCGGCAACGCCCGAAGCCGGUGGCAUAACCUUUUAGGAGUGAGCCGUCGAAGGCGGGGCCGAUGACUGGGGUUAAGUCGUAACAAGGUAGCC
RNAcentral lists this ribosomal RNA (1499 nucleotides) under uncultured bacterium. RNAcentral describes it as "bacterial SSU rRNA". It matches the Rfam family "Bacterial small subunit ribosomal RNA". The record is from RNAcentral.